This 465-nucleotide ribosomal RNA is filed under the name uncultured bacterium. RNAcentral's name for it is "partial 16S ribosomal RNA". It matches the Rfam family "Bacterial small subunit ribosomal RNA", at positions 338 to 795 of the family's 1533-position model. The record is from RNAcentral.
CCUACGGUGGUCAGCAGUGGGGAAUAUUGCGCAAUGGGCGAAAGCCUGACGCAGCGACGCCGCGUGAGGGAUUAAGGUCUUCGGAUCGUACACCUCUUUCCGCAGGGAAGAACGGUCACUGUGCUAAUCAGCAGUGACUUGACGGUACCUGCAAAGGAAGCACCGGCUAACUCCGUGCCAGCAGCCGCGGUAAUACGGAGGGUGCGCGCGUUCAUCGGAAUUACUUGGCGUAAAGCGCUCGUAGGCGGUAUGUCAAGUCAAGGGUGAAAUCCCCGCGCUCAACGUGGGAACUGCCUUGGAAACUGGCAAACUGGAGUGUGUGAGAGGAUAGGGGAAUUCCAGGUGGAGGAGUGAAAGCCGUAGAUAUCGGGAGGAACAUCAGUGGCGAAGGCGACUAUCUGGCACAUAACUGACGCUGAGGAGCGAAAGCGUGGGUAGCAAACAGGAUUAGAUACCCGAGUAGUC